CCGUUCCGUCUUCUUCUGGGUCUUCACCGGUCUCAGCCAUCUGUACACCAUUAAUCAGGCCUUACCUGCCUCGGUACGCCACCCAGCUCCAUCGUUAUCUGUCACCUCCACCACAGCACUGUCCUUUAGCAGGCCUCUCUUCACACAGUGAAACCCUUACAGAUGGUCCAGGAGGAGGCGGCGCGUCUGGUUUUCAAUCAGCCUAAAAGGGCACAUGUCACUCUGCUGCUCACUGACCUCCUCUGGCUGCGCCACAUUCAAGGCAUUAAUUCUGCCCACAGAGAAUUCUGGGUCUGCUCCAUGUACUUGAACUCAGUCAUUCAGGCUCAUGCUCCCUCUCUGCCACUGUGUUUCUCAAAGGAACAUUGUCUGGUGGUGCGUUCCUACACACAAAGCAAUCACUGUUGUGGUUCCCUGAUGGUGGAACAAGCUGCCAACAGGCCAGCAGGACGAGAGCAGAGUGUGGCCCCGGGGCCCGACCCUCCAUCCACAGAGGAGAAGAGGACUCAAACACAAAGACAACAAAAAGACCCCCAAUGAAAGAGAAGAGUCCAUGGAUCUCAUCAUGUGGAAAGCAGGUCUUUGUGCUCAGACUGUAGGAGAUGGAUGCAUUAAGGAUGUUUCUGGGUUUGAAAACGAUGCAAUGACCGGCCAUGUGAAUAACACAGAGGAUUUAAUCUUAUAUAAGACUCAAGGAGCGAAUAUGAAUUCAUUUUGGGAGUAGAAUUCAUUCUUGACUUGACUUUCAGUGAAGAAAAUAUUUGUUAAUUGCUAAAUUUAUAUGAAUGAGAAAAGACUAGUUGAUUACACUAAGUUUCUAUUUGAUGUUUUAUAUUGUACAUGAGAGGAACAAUAA
This is a long non-coding RNA of Toxotes jaculatrix (banded archerfish), 856 nucleotides long. RefSeq lists it as uncharacterized. The transcript is spliced from 3 exons. NCBI's taxonomy places the organism in Eukaryota, Metazoa, Chordata, Actinopteri, Toxotidae. The record is from RefSeq and is a predicted model, not a curated record.